GAUGCGAGCGUUAUCCGGAAUUAUUGGGUUUAAAGGGUGCGUAGGCGGAAUGGUAAGUCAGCGGUGAAAUACUGCAGCUCAACUGUAGUUGUGCCGUUGAUACUGUCCUUCUUGAGUAUAGAUGAGGUAGGCGGAAUGAGUAGUGUAGCGGUGAAAUGCAUAGAUAUUACUCAGAACACCGAUUGCGAAGGCAGCUUACUAAACUAUAACUGACGCUGAAGCACGAAAGCGUGGGUAUCAAACAGGAUUAGAUACCCUGGUAGUCCACGCUGUAAACGAUGAUUA
This 285-nucleotide ribosomal RNA is filed under the name uncultured bacterium. RNAcentral's name for it is "partial 16S ribosomal RNA". It matches the Rfam family "Bacterial small subunit ribosomal RNA", at positions 531 to 815 of the family's 1533-position model. The record is from RNAcentral.